AUGAACGCUCGCAGCGUGCCUAAUACAUGCAAGUCGAGCGAACAGACGAGGAGCUUGCUCCUCUGACGUUAGCGGCGGACGGGUGAGUAACACGUGGAUAACCUACCUAUAAGACUGGGAUAACUUCGGGAAACCGGAGCUAAUACCGGAUAAUAUAUUGAACCGCAUGGUUCAAUAGUGAAAGACGGUUUUGCUGUCACUUAUAGAUGGAUCCGCGCCGCAUUAGCUAGUUGGUAAGGUAACGGCUUACCAAGGCAACGAUGCGUAGCCGACCUGAGAGGGUGAUCGGCCACACUGGAACUGAGACACGGUCCAGACUCCUACGGGAGGCAGCAGUAGGGAAUCUUCCGCAAUGGGCGAAAGCUUGACGGAGCAACGCCGCGUGAGUGAUGAAGGUCUUCGGAUCGUAAAACUCUGUUAUUAGGGAAGAACAAAUGUGUAAGUAACUAUGCACGUCUUGACGGUACCUAAUCAGAAAGCCACGGCUAACUACGUG
Molecule: ribosomal RNA, 496 nt
Filed under: uncultured bacterium
Lineage: Bacteria
Description: partial 16S ribosomal RNA
Rfam family: Bacterial small subunit ribosomal RNA
Source: RNAcentral